This 704-nucleotide ribosomal RNA is filed under the name ascomycete sp. ODP61903fw6. RNAcentral describes it as "SSU rRNA". It matches the Rfam family "Eukaryotic small subunit ribosomal RNA", at positions 194 to 907 of the family's 1831-position model. The record is from RNAcentral. Lineage: Eukaryota; Fungi; Ascomycota.
GGAAGGGGUGUAUUUAUUAGAUAAAAAACCAACGCCCUUCGGGGCUCCUUGGUGAUUCAUAAUAACUAAACGAAUCGCAUGGCCUUGCGCCGGCGAUGGUUCAUUCAAAUUUCUGCCCUAUCAACUUUCGAUGGUAGGAUAGUGGCCUACCAUGGUAUCAACGGGUAACGGGGAAUUAGGGUUCUAUUCCGGAGAGGGAGCCUGAGAAACGGCUACCACAUCCAAGGAAGGCAGCAGGCGCGCAAAUUACCCAAUCCCGACACGGGGAGGUAGUGACAAUAAAUACUGAUACAGGGCUCUUUUGGGUCUUGUAAUUGGAAUGAGUACAAUUUAAAUCCCUUAACGAGGAACAAUUGGAGGGCAAGUCUGGUGCCAGCAGCCGCGGUAAUUCCAGCUCCAAUAGCGUAUAUUAAAGUUGUUGCAGUUAAAAAGCUCGUAGUUGAACCUUGGGCCUGGCUGGCCGGUCCGCCUCACCGCGUGUACUGGUCCGGCCGGGCCUUUCCUUCUGGGGAGCCGCAUGCCCUUCACUGGGCGUGUCGGGGAACCAGGACUUUUACUUUGAAAAAAUUAGAGUGUUCAAAGCANGCCUUUGCUCGAAUACAUUANCAUGGAAUAAUAGAAUAGGACUGCGGNUCUAUUUUGUUGGUUUCUAGGACGCCGUAAUGAUUAUANGGAUAGUCNGGGGCAUCANUAUUCAAUUGUCA